UUCGUGAUGUAUAAAGUAAACAAUAUUUGGAAAUAGUGUAUCUUUCUUGAAAAGAGGGACGAAUCAUUCAUACAUAAUAUAUUUUUAGAUGGCAUGCAUUCUAUGUACGAGGCAAAACAGGGCCAUCUAUCUUUGCUAUUUUUUAAUCUCCACAGCCUACUUUUUCUACAACAUCUAUCAUUCAUUUUUCCUUGUUGUAAUACUAAAAGAUUGGCUUCAGUAUUUCUUAAAACAAGAUCUCCCAUUUGGAACUGCUUAUUCUUUACUCUGGAGUUAUAGUAUUGUGUAACUUGUUGAGCUUUUGCAGCAUUUCUGACCUCUGUUGUCUCCUUAACUUCAUUGAUGAGAUCUAAGUUGAGUUGAAUGAUCUUCCACUUGUGCUGAUUGAUUAUUUGGUUGACGGUGUAUAGGAUUCCUGAAAAAAAUGUUAGACGAGUUAAUUAAUAAAUUGAAAGUUACAACUAUAACCUACAAAUUUCCUAAUUAUUCUUUUACGUGCAAAAAUUAAAAUUAACCUAGUGGCGUUGCCUCUUCGCAAUGGUGCCAACAAUUUGACUGCCUUUGGACGUAUUGUGUGAAUACUGCAUUAAAAUAUAUAAUUACGAGGUGGGUGAGUGCUCCGAGGAUCGUACCCAAGGGAGGCUAAGAUUGGAUCAAUUUUAACUUACACAUUAAAAUAUCUAAUUAAUACUUUAAUUAAGUUAUAGCACAAAAAUGUAAAUAAGAGAUUUGCGUGGAUUUUUAUAGUACUAAUAAUAAAACAAAAUAACAAUAAAUAAAGCUAAAUUUCAAGAGAUAGAAAAAGUAGAAGGAAUAAAAAAUGAUGAUGGGUGAUUAACUUGCUUAGACAAUCCUGAUCAACUAUCGUUUCGGGUUCCUCGUCAACCAACUAGUCACUAUCCUAGCAGGAUCUUCUAAUCUUUCAUUAACAUAACUAGUCAGCAAGGACUACUUAUCUUCUGACCUUAUAGUCCAGAUUGGCUUGGGGUGAAGGUGUUCAGGAAUGGACAAGACCAAUUUUGGGUUAAUUCCCACCUUGAUGACUUCUCGGGGUUGUUAGACUUAGGGUUUGUUUCACGUUCUUCCUUUCCCAAAUAGCUGAUCCGUUGAGUAACCUUACAAAACAAUUAAUAGAUCAUGCCUCCACUCGCUAAUUCCCCAUAGAAGGAUUAGUUCCUCAUAGUUUUCAUAAACAAUUUGGAAUAGAUGGAAGAAUAAAACAUGAUGAAUAGAUUGAAGUGUAGAGUUUAAGAAAAGCCUGAUUUGUAUAAAUAAUAACACGAAUCCAUAGAAGUUGAUCGUCUUUACAAAUUAGAUCUCUUAAAGGAACGCAACGAACAAAUAAACUAAACUCUGAAAAACCUAAGAAAGAAAUAAAACGAAACUAAAUCUAAAGAGGGAAUUUAGGUUAAUGGAAUGGUGUCCAUAACAUGUACCUAAACCACUAGUAUGUUUGCAUUAUUCAUGGGAGUAACGCAAAACUGCUCCCAUUGAUGAUAACGGACCAAAAUCCAGAUUUCUUUGUAGUGAAUCUUCGAAGGUUCAUGUAGCACCCCAAACCCGGCCCAGAAGUUAUGGUCGGAUCCGGCAUGCCACAUCAAAAACGUAAAAAAAAAAAAUUUCCAUUCUAAGUCCAGAAAAUCGUACUUGAUGUUCAAAAGAUUAAUUCAUUAAAGGUUAAAGUGAAUGGAAGCUGUGCACCAGGUAGGAAACCGGAAAAUAGGUGGUGAGUCCAUCGGACUGCUUAAGUACCAAGCUCCCUUCGGAUCCAAUCCUAGACAUGCAUACCGCCAUUGCCACACUUUAACGUCAUGGAUAUUUCUAGGAAACCGAUUUGAUUAAGUCAUUUUUAGGAAAAGUGAUUAAUUUUGGAAAUACUUUCAUUGCGGAAGCUUUGCUUGUUGUCGUGUUAUUUUGAAAUCAACUGUUGUUUUUGAAAACGCGCCCUAAAGCUAUCCAAUUUCAACAGUUAAAAUAAGUAUUACCUAUCUUAGUAAUAUAAAAAAACCAUCAAAAAUAAAUAAGCAGCCUUAUUACAUUUAAAAACCCAAAACUUCAAACGUAAAUAAAAGGAUGUCCAGUUCACCAGAAGAAAAUCAAACUUUCAGAACAGGUGGCCACUCCGAAUUCCCUCACAGCUCCAAGCCCACUAUGGUUGGGGAUUACCUGCGUGGAUGAAAAUAAAAGGGGUGAGUUUGGGGAAACUCAGUGUGUAAAUUAACCCAACCAUAGCCUAUAUCAGCUUAAACCACAGAAAUAGAAUAAGUUGGCCUUAGCCCAGAACAGAAUUCAAAAUAAAACCCAUAGGCCCAUAACAGAACAGAACAAAUAUUACAUGUUUAUGCAGAAACCCAACCAUAUCCAACCGUAUACACCCCCGUACCAACCUUACACCGUGUGGGGAGACAACUCGACCCACCCAACCGCUACACACCACAGAAUUUGCAGCAUGGCUGCCAGAACAGAUAAUGUGACAGAGUCACCAGAUACAGAUAAUCGUGGCAGAGCCACCAGAACAGAUAUAUGUGGCAGAGCCACCAGAUCAGAUAUUUGUGGCAUAGCCACCAGAACGCUUCCUCCAUAAUAUAACCCAUGUCCCCAUGCAACAGAUAUAUAAUCAUGGCAUACAUCAUACAGAAUCAGAUCGUCAUGCUUUUCAGUCAAAAUUAACCCUAGGGGUAUAACGGUAAUUUUGCACCUAGGAGUAUAACAGUAAUUUUCCAUACAUAGGGGUAUUAUAGUAAUUUAGCUACUUUUAGGGUUUUCAUGCAUAUCCUAACUAUUUACGUACUAUCAGAACACUUACCGCACAUACUUACUGAAUUGGGCCCGUUGGCCCAUGAACCCGAUCUUUGGCCCAUUAAGCCCAAAUUAUCAAAAUGUACGAAAUCGCGCGUACUGCAGUUUAUUACUUUAGAUUACCAAAUAUACAAACCCAACUAUCUUACGAGCAUUCGCACACUCGCAAAUUCCCAAAAUACUGACUUUUCGGCAUUUCGGCUUUUCGGCUUUUGUCAAUCUAGUCUAUGAGAGGGUGUCAGUUACACACCUGUUUGCGACGAUAUGCUGACGAGAUCCACACACGAACCGCCUACAAUUGGAUUACUAACACGUUAAUCUAACUAUUCAAAUACAAACUACGUAUUAACCCCUUACAAUAUUCGGCCAACCACACCUACAGAUCAUAGUAAGCUUAUAAGAAAUCAAUAAGCAACUCAUUAACAAAUUUUUGUCAAUGUUUACCACAUAAUCAUAAUUUCACUGCAAGCUGUCUUCCUGAGCAACAGUCACUAAAUUAUUUAUAAAUGGAGCUACGAAACUCCAAAUCAAGUUCCGUUAAUUUUCCUUGAAAAUAGACUCAUAUAUAUUCUAUCCAUAAAAGUUUUAGAAUUUUUGGUUUAGCCAAUCAAUACCAGAUUUUUCUCAAAGUUUCUCAUGUUUCACUGUUUGACUAAUCUGACCACUCUUCAUUACGAAUCAAAUUUCUCAUUGUACAGAAUUCAAAAUAUGUUCUUGUUUAUUUCAUUAGAAACUAGACUCAAUAAGCUUUAAUUACAUAAUUUAUGCAGCUUCUAACUCAUCUCCCACAAUUUAUGGUGAUUUUCCAAAGUCACGUUACUGCUGCUGUCCCAAGCAGAUUUAUUACCAAAUCACUCUUUCACACCUAACUUGCAUGCUUGUUAUUUAAACAUGUAUAUCACCAAUCAAUCAUCACAUAUCUAUGAUUUUACUUAAGUAUAAUCUCCAUUUCAUCAUUUUAAAGCACAACAUGUUAGCCGAUUUUUCCCUUUAGCAUCUAAGGCACAUGCAUGCUCAUUUGUUUGGCUCAACUUCACCUAUCUUCCAUUUUUCAUCAAAAGAACAUGAAACAACAACCAUUUCCUUCAUUUUAAUUCAUGACUAAAUGCUCACAACACAACUAAAAAUCAAAAUAUACUUUAAGAGUUAAGGUAGAAUCAAGAAGAACUCAUGAACCUCAAAACAGAAGUAAGGUACCAAGAACUUACCUUCAAUUUUCCUCCUCCUAAUGACCGAAUACUCAAGAGUUUUCUCCUCUCCUUUCUCUUCUCUAACUUUCAGCUAUGAUGAACAAAGAUGGACAAAACUUUGUUCUUUUCACCCCUUUUUCUUUUAAUAAAAU
RNAcentral lists this long non-coding RNA (4141 nucleotides) under Gossypium barbadense (sea-island cotton). Its description in RNAcentral is "long non-coding RNA (GBAR_LNC009540)". Lineage: Eukaryota; Viridiplantae; Streptophyta; Magnoliopsida; Malvales; Malvaceae. The record is from RNAcentral.